CGGAAAUCAGACUGCCCCCUUCGCCAGCAGAGGGCACUCUCGUCCCAUCAGGCGACAUACCCACCUCCAUCGCAGGCAUCCCGGACAGCAUCUUCCAGCGGAUCCGUGCCCAAUGCGCCCCUCCAGUCCUGUUCCUGUUUGCACACUAUCUGAACUCCGCUGAGGCAGCGACCGACCCGGUUACCAAGGAGCAUUGCUUCCGUGAAGCCGCCAUGCUCAUCCCUCGGAAGCCUGCGCUGCGCGAGGCCCUGGGUUUCAUUGAACCCCCGUCAGAGCCUGCACCCGUUCCCGCAUCAGAGCCUGCACCCGUUCCCGCGUCUAAGCCUGCACCCCUGGCCCCAGCGUCUAAGCCUGCACCCCUGGCCCCAGCGUCUAAGCCUGCACCCCUGGCCCCAGCGUCUAAGCCUGCACCCCUGGCCCCAGCGUCUAAGCCUGCACCACUGGCCCCAGCGUCUAAGCCUGCACCACUGGCCCCAGCGUCUCUGGCUGCAUCACUGGCCCCAGCGUCUCUGGCUGCAUCACUGGCCCCAGCGUCUCUGGCUGUAUCACUGGCCCCAGCGUCUCUGGCUGCAGCGUCUCCUGCCCAAGCCUCAGCUCAGCCAUGCCAAGCUCAAGCUCCAGCUCAAGCCUCAGCUCAGCCUGCCGUUCCUGUUCCUGUCGGCCAUAUUGAGGCCGUUCCUGUUCCUGUCGGCCAUAUUGAGGCCGUUCUAGUUCCUGUCGGCUCCUCGGAGGAGGACGCCGUUGUAGUUCCUGUCGGCUCCUCGGAGGAGGACGCCGUUCUAGUUCCUGUCGGCUCCUCGGAGGAGGACGCCGUUCUAGUUCCUGUCGGCUCCUCGGAGGAGGACGCCGUUCUAGUUCCUGUCGGCUCCUCAGGGGAGGACGCCGUUCUAGUUCCUGUCGGCUCCUCUGAGGAGGACGCCGUUCUAGUUCCUGUCGGCUCCUCUGAGGAGGACGCCGUUCUAGUUCCUGCCACUGUCGGCCCCUCGGGGGCCGCAGCCCCCGACGAUC
RNAcentral lists this long non-coding RNA (1008 nucleotides) under Betta splendens (Siamese fighting fish). Its description in RNAcentral is "lncRNA (ENSBSLG00000022679.1)". The record is from RNAcentral. Lineage: Eukaryota; Metazoa; Chordata; Actinopteri; Anabantiformes; Osphronemidae.